CCUACGGGUGGCAGCAGUGAGGAAUAUUGGUCAAUGGGCGCAAGCCUGAACCAGCCAAGUCGCGUGAGGGAUGACGGUCCUAUGGAUUGUAAACCUCUUUUGUCGGGGAGCUAAGCCCGCUACGUGUGGCGGGAAGGAGAGCACCCGAAGAAACAGCAUCGGCUAACUUCGUUCCAUCAGCCGCGGUAAUACGGGGGACGCGAGCGUUAUCCGGAUUUAUUGGGUUUAAAGGGUGCGUAGGCGGAAGGUUAAGUCAGCGGUAAAAUGUCGGUGCUCAACACCGGCCUGCCGUUGAAACUGGUCGUCUUGAGUGAACGAGAGGUAUGCGGAAUGCGUGGUGUAGCGGUGAAAUGCAUAGAGAUCACGCAGAACUCCGGUUGCGAAGGCGGCAUACCGGCGCGCAACUGACGCUGAGGCACGAAAGCGUGGGGAUCGAACAGGAUUAGAUACCCCGGUAGUC
RNAcentral lists this ribosomal RNA (460 nucleotides) under uncultured bacterium. RNAcentral's name for it is "partial 16S ribosomal RNA". It matches the Rfam family "Bacterial small subunit ribosomal RNA", at positions 338 to 795 of the family's 1533-position model. The record is from RNAcentral.